ACCAGACUCCUACGGGAGGCAGCAGUGGGGGAUAUUGCACAAUGGGGGAAACCCUGAUGCAGCGACGCCGCGUGGGUGAAGAAGUAUUUCGGUAUGUAAAGCCCUAUCAGCAGGGAAGAAAGAAGACGGUACCUGACUAAGAAGCCCCGGCUAACUACGUGCCAGCAGCCGCGGUAAUACGUAGGGGGCGAGCGUUAUCCGGAUUCACUGGGUGUAAAGGGAGCGUAGACGGCCGUGCAAGCCAGGAGUGAAAGCCCGGGGCCCAACCCCGGGACUGCAUUUGGAACUGUGUGGCUGGAGUGUCGGAGAGGCAGGCGGAAUUCCUAGUGUAGCGGUGAAAUGCGUAGAUAUUAGGAGGAACACCAGUGGCGAAGGCGGCCUGCUGGACGAUGACUGACGUUGAGGCUCGAAAGCGUGGGGAGCAAACAGGAUGAGAUACCCCCGUAA
This 447-nucleotide ribosomal RNA is filed under the name uncultured bacterium. Its description in RNAcentral is "bacterial SSU rRNA". It matches the Rfam family "Bacterial small subunit ribosomal RNA", at positions 330 to 793 of the family's 1533-position model. The record is from RNAcentral.